Long non-coding RNA from Diceros bicornis minor, 355 nucleotides. RefSeq lists it as uncharacterized. The transcript is spliced from 3 exons. The record is from RefSeq and is a predicted model, not a curated record. Lineage: Eukaryota; Metazoa; Chordata; Mammalia; Perissodactyla; Rhinocerotidae.
GGAGGCUCAGCGUUCUCAAGGCAGGACCUGGAGCAGGGCCUCACGGUGGCUCUCGCCGGGACAACUCGCACCUGGAGUGACAAUACCCCUGGCAACCACCAUUCCACUUUCCGUCUCUAAGAUUUGAGGACCACGUCCUGCCCUUCCCAGACCACAGCGCCGCCACCUGCCGACCCUGCGCAGCCACCGCACGGUGGAAACAAUGCCACGCCGUUCACACCUUGCAGCCGGAGAUGGGAAGGUUAAUUGAAUUAUUACCAAAACAGCAGGAGGACGGGGGUCCUGUUGCAGAAACCUCAGCGUUUCCGUCGCCCAUAGCAGGCUUCUGACCACCCCCCCCCCAGGCCCAAAUGGG